GGUGUUGUCUGUAUCGACCCGGACAGUGCCGUAGCUAACGCGUUAAGUAUCCCGCCUGGGGAGUACGCACGCAAGUGUGAAACUCAAAGGAAUUGACGGGGGCCCGCACAAGCGGAGGAACAUGUGUUUAAUUCGAUGAUACGCGAGGAACCUUACCAGGACUUGACAUGUCGCGAAUCCAGGUCGAUACAGACAACACC
RNAcentral lists this ribosomal RNA (200 nucleotides) under uncultured Oscillatoria sp. RNAcentral describes it as "partial 16S ribosomal RNA". It matches the Rfam family "Bacterial small subunit ribosomal RNA", at positions 819 to 1018 of the family's 1533-position model. The record is from RNAcentral. Lineage: Bacteria; Bacillati; Cyanobacteriota; Cyanophyceae; Oscillatoriales; Oscillatoriaceae.